RNAcentral lists this ribosomal RNA (445 nucleotides) under uncultured bacterium. RNAcentral's name for it is "bacterial SSU rRNA". It matches the Rfam family "Bacterial small subunit ribosomal RNA", at positions 330 to 792 of the family's 1533-position model. The record is from RNAcentral.
CCCGGACUCCUACGGGAGGCAGCAGUGGGGAAUAUUGCACAAUGGGGGAAACCCUGAUGCAGCAACGCCGCGUGAGUGAAGAAGUAUUUCGGUAUGUAAAGCUCUAUCAGCAGGGAAGAAAAUGACGGUACCUGAGUAAGAAGCCCCGGCUAACUACGUGCCAGCAGCCGCGGUAAUACGUAGGGGGCAAGCGUUAUCCGGAUUUACUGGGCGUAAAGGGAGCGUAGACGGCCAGACAAGUCUGAAGUGAAAAUCCAGCGCUUAACGUUGGAAGUGCUUUGGAAACUGCCGGGCUAGAGUGCAGGAGGGGCAGGCGGAAUUCCUAGUGUAGCGGUGAAAUGCGUAGAUAUUAGGAGGAACACCAGUGGCGAAGGCGGCCUGCUGGACUGCAACUGACGUUGAGGCUCGAAGGCGUGGGGAGCAAACAGGAUUAGAUCCCCUUGUA